This is a non-coding RNA of Arachis ipaensis, 1484 nucleotides long. NCBI's taxonomy places the organism in Eukaryota, Viridiplantae, Streptophyta, Magnoliopsida, Fabales, Fabaceae. The record is from RefSeq and is a predicted model, not a curated record.
UAAAAAAAAUUUCUGAUUAAUAAUUAUGAAAUUAAUUGUAUUGUCUAAUGAUUCAUUUCUCAUAACCGUUCUUUUAGUGUCAUUUAUUUUUAAUGAAUUAUCUAUAUUAUUUUAAUUAUAAUCUUAUAUCUUCUAUUAGUAUUUUUAGUUGUUUAACGCUACCAAGGAAAUAUUAAAAGACCAAAUGUGUCUCUCUCUUCUCCCACCCCCUCCCUACCCCCCACACACACGCAAUAAAAAAACAAAGUUCACAAACAAGACACACACACGCGAAAAAAAAAAGAAGGUCAAAAAGAAGAGCUAACGUCGUCACCGUCCAUCCUCUCCCUCUGGGGUCUCAGCUUACUCAACCCAGAAAGACACCGUCCUACUUUUUGCAGCGUUAAACCUCAAAUAAUCCUACAAGCUACAAACUUGUCGUCAUCUCCAGUGGUCUCGGCGUCUCCAUUUCUUUGAACAGAUUGUCACACGUGGGUAGCUGCUACUUUUGUUAAUUAUCUUGAUUAGGAAGCUACAUUUAAGGGUGACAGAGCUCUUCCCCCAAAUUUUGUUUCAACUCAUGGGGAACGAUUAGGGCCAAUAUUCUAUGUCAUUAACGAGUUAGAUAAUUGUUUAUCGCUGGAGGUGAUCAAAAAGAAUGAUCAGUUGUUCAUAACUGACUCCUCAUUUGAACAGAUUAGAACUUUCUAUCUUAUCGAUAAAGGGGCAUCUGUUCAAUUUAGGAAUGUCGGUUUUGGAAUUUUUUUAUUUCAUUGUGGGAUAAGGACAACCAAUCCAUCCAAGUUCACCUUGAUCCUAACUGCUAUGUUCCUGAGCUAAUGGACCCAGAGACACCUGAUAAUAUAUCAAGAGUGUUCCACAUAAAGUAUACCAGGAUGGAUGAGGACUCAUCAGCUGAUGUGAUUGUUCUAUCUGGAUCUGAACCAUCAGAUGAUCAGUUUUCAUCAGAUGGUGAUGAAAACAAUGAUUAAGAUGGAGCACUGGUAGGGGAUAAUCCACAUAAUCCGAUAGAUUUGUCUAGUGGCAGCAGUUUAUCAUUGGAGGUCGAUGAACACAUUAACGCGUCAAAUGAAUUGGCUGAUCCUAGAUAUGCUCCAGAGGUUUCUUAUAAAAAGAAGAUCACAGCUUCGGAUCUCGGACAAUCUAGAUUGUAUUUGGCUUCAAAAUUUGUUGUGUAUCUUAAAUCAUCUGGAGAUGGUUCGAUUUGGACGAUCACCGGUCCAGAUUCCAAUGUAGAGAAGAAUGUGUUCUUUUUUCACUUACUGAAUAGUGAAGGAAGACGUGGAGAAUGAAAAUUUGGGGUCGGAUGGAGUGAAUGUUGUAGAAUAUACAAUUUAAAGGAGGGUGAUAUCAUUACUUUCAAACUCAGCUUGAUAGCUAACCGCCAGAUAGAGUUAUCGAUUCAGCGACGUUAGGCCUCCUAUGUAUAACUCUAUUUGAUGGAUAUUUUGAAUUAUAUGUUAAGUUGUCUUGGACAUAUUUUA